AUUGAACGCUGGCGGCAUGCCUUACAUAUGCAAGUCGAACGGCAGCACGGGAGUAAUCCUGGUGGCGAGUGGCGAACGGGUGAGUAAAGCAUCGGAACGUGCCCAGUCGUGGGGGAUAACGUAGCGAAAGCUACGCUAAUACCGCAUACGAUCUGUGGAUGAAAGCGGGGGACCGUAAGGCCUCGCGCGAUUGGAGCGGCCGAUGUCAGAUUAGGUAGUUGGUGAGGUAAAGGCUCACCAAGCCGACGAUCUGUAGCUGGUCUGAGAGGACGACCAGCCACACUGGGACUGAGACACGGCCCAGACUCCUACGGGAGGCUGCAGUGGGGAAUUUUGGACAAUGGGCGCAAGCCUGAUCCAGCAAUGCCGCGUGCAGGAUGAAGGCCUUCGGGUUGUAAACUGCUUUUGUACGGAGCGAAAAGGCUUCCACUAAUACUGGGGGCUCAUGACGGUACCGUAAGAAUAAGCACCGGCUAACUACGUG
This 484-nucleotide ribosomal RNA is filed under the name uncultured bacterium. RNAcentral's name for it is "partial 16S ribosomal RNA". It matches the Rfam family "Bacterial small subunit ribosomal RNA", at positions 30 to 507 of the family's 1533-position model. The record is from RNAcentral.